UGCAGUCGAGCGGAUUGAUGGGAGCUUGCUCCCAUCAGUCAGCGGCGGACGGGUGAGUAACACGUGGGUAACCUGCCUGUAAGACUGGGAUAACUCCGGGAAACCGGGGCUAAUACCGGAUAACUCAUUUCCUCGCAUGAGGAAAUGUUGAAAGGUGGCUUUUAGCUAUCACUUACAGAUGGACCCGCGGCGCAUUAGCUAGUUGGUGAGGUAACGGCUCACCAAGGCGACGAUGCGUAGCCGACCUGAGAGGGUGAUCGGCCACACUGGGACUGAGACACGGCCCAGACUCCUACGGGAGGCAGCAGUAGGGAAUCUUCCGCAAUGGACGAAAGUCUGACGGAGCAACGCCGCGUGAGUGAUGAAGGUUUUCGGAUCGUAAAACUCUGUUGUUAGGGAAGAACAAGUACCGUUCGAAUAGGGCGGUACCUUGACGGUACCUAACCAGAAAGCCACGGCUAACUACGUGCCAGCAGCCGCGGUAAUACGUAGGUGGCAAGCGUUGUCCGGAAUUAUUGGGCGUAAAGCGCGC
This 532-nucleotide ribosomal RNA is filed under the name Bacillus sp. PSu2_40. RNAcentral's name for it is "bacterial SSU rRNA". It matches the Rfam family "Bacterial small subunit ribosomal RNA", at positions 56 to 570 of the family's 1533-position model. Lineage: Bacteria; Bacillati; Bacillota; Bacilli; Caryophanales; Bacillaceae. The record is from RNAcentral.